This is a long non-coding RNA of Hippocampus zosterae (dwarf seahorse), 2533 nucleotides long. RefSeq lists it as uncharacterized. The record is from RefSeq and is a predicted model, not a curated record. The transcript has 2 exons. Lineage: Eukaryota; Metazoa; Chordata; Actinopteri; Syngnathiformes; Syngnathidae.
UCUUCUCCGAAUAUGGCAUUUCUUUAUUUUUUAUUUUUUGUUUCACAAAUGAGAUGGCAUGUGAGUUUUGGAGGACCAAAAAAGGGACCGAGUAUUUUAUAAGAUUUAAGAGAAACUCUUCCCGAAUUAUUAUUUACCGGGCUUGUGGUGGGCACUUGAAAUACACUGGCUUGUGACCUCUAGUGGCUGGUUUAGAAACUCUUGUGCAUGUAGGUGCUGUACUGGAAGCGUUUAAAGUUCGAAGCUACCUGUUUUUAUUGUUUUAAUUUGAAUUUAAUGUUUGAAGCCAUGAGACUCUCGUGCCAGUGUCAGAGUCUUGGGGUGUAGUCACACCCGCUGUUGGAUCCACUUUCAACCGCUCUUGUCAUUUCUGUCCAAUGAUAGCACCAGCCAUCACAUGUGUCGACGUGAACUAUAGUUCACUUGCAAAAAGUACAGUGUGAACACAAACCACACCAAACGAAAAAAAAAUAAGUUUGCUUUUUGUCAAAUAACUGAAUGACUUUUCAGGUGCGAGUACAGCCUUAAUUACCUCAUCCUAAUUGAUCUGUGGUGUUGUUAAGAACUUGAGGUGCGCACGGAUCACUAGGGAUUAUCAGUUACAUAAGAACCUGUCUAUUCUCUCUUUCACUGCAAUGUCAGGGAACUAAUCUGCUCAUAAAUGGGGAUUACAAGAAUUCCUUUCCUUUAAUUUCCUUUCCCUAAAAAUAAUGAUUUUGCAAGGGGUAGCCAUUGAAGGUGGGACGAUUCACUUACCUCCAGAUUCAAUUCAAAUCACAAUGCUUGUGUGACAAUUAGAUUUAUAUCACAAUGAUUGAUGAUACUGCGAUUUGCAAUUCAAUAUGAAGGUUAUUGGUAUUUUUCUGAAAUGGUACAUUUUCUUAUAACAUUUUAAAAUAAUUCAUUUUAACAAUAUCAACCACAAACAAUACAUAAGUUGAAUCAUGUACUGUACUUCAAUCAUAGCAGCCAGAUGAAAGGCAGUUAGUCUUUUUGACAUUUAUUUCAGAAAGAGCCUAAGGUGGCUAAGGUACUGACUAACGCAUUCAGAUGACGUAGCACGAAUAGUGCUGAAUGCUUAAAGGCCAAGUGUAAAGUAAUUUCAUGAAAUGCCAAAUAGCGUCACAAUGAAAGUACCUAAACAUUGUCCACUAAAUAAAGCAAGAAAAAAUAAUGUAUAUUUUAUAUAUUUGACAAAAUAAUCGAUUUUCCGUGGUUCAAUCCUGAAAGAGGCGGAACCCGGAAGUGAUAUGUCACAUGGAGAACAGCGAUGGCAGAGCUCCAUACGGCCACAUGCAAAGCAUUUCAAACAAUGAUUCAAACAGCGAUACAAGCGAUCGAUCGAGCGCAAGUGAGGAUAUCCAAGUUUUUAAAGAGUUGGAUGAAGAAGAGGAGGUUGGAAUUUUACAUGUUGGACCUUACAUGUACGACCCAGACGCUAAUCAGGAUGCAAACAAUGUGCCCAGACGACCUGACAUGGAAUGGAGACAAGACCCAUCAAGAUUGGUAAGAUAUAGGCUGGUAUUAUUUUAUGAUAUUUAUUUUCAUAUAUUUAUGAUUUAAAGAUGCAGGCAUGUGCACAUAAUUUUGUGUAGGUGACAAUCUGAUGACAUUGUUUAGAAAAAAUACGACUUCAUGUUCAAGCAGUUAGCCUACUCGGUACUUGUGCAUUAUUUUUAGCAAAUCAUUUUUUGACUUGUACUUGAGAGAUUUUUGUAAUGACUUUUUAAAAAUUUGUACAGUAUUCCAUCCGUAUACUUGUAUAUUUUGAAUAAAAUGUUUUCAUAAACAACAGAAUUAUUGAUUGAGGGGUAUAGAAUCAGAAUCAUUUUUGUUGCCCAAGUACGUAGAAGACACAAAGAAUUUGUCUCCAGUAUAACACGCUGCAUUAGUAUCAUCAUAAAUAAGGACAUGACAAAUAAGUAUGGCAGGACAUUCCGGAAUGUAAGGGAACCGUAGUGCGGUGCUACUACCCAGUGACAACUCUGAGCUUAUUCAAUAAAAUGUAUGCUCAUGGUGCCACCGCUCAGUAUUUUACUUUUUUUAUUUCAGGUGUACUUGUGGUAAAUGCCAGCAAUUGCCUACAGCAGUCAAAUGUGUUUGCUGCCAUGAAAUCCAAGAAGGAGUGACUGUACGUCGACAAGGACAGGAACACUUCAAUCAGGUGCUGGACUGCAUCACCGACCAACCUGGACUCCAUGCUGUGUGCCUAGACCCAUACGGAUUACAGGUGGCAUGGAUGACCUACAAGCAGCAGUACAAAGGAAAGGCAUUUGAUGGGCCACAGGAUGCGCUGAUGCUGGAAGUUUCUUGGUCAGGACAACCGGGUUGUGCUCCCAGUAUGCGCCGUGUCUUGUAUCAGGGCACAUUUUCCACCACCAGGACGAAAGUCAGCUGUAUUUAAAGGGUUUCGUGUUUCACAGAGAAAUGUUCCAGAACUGUGAUUUGGACUGGUUUUAGAGUGGUUAAUGUGGACAUGUUGUCUAUCAUAACAAAAUACUGGAAUAAAAAUAAACAAAUGAGGACAACUGAA